This 237-nucleotide ribosomal RNA is filed under the name uncultured bacterium. RNAcentral describes it as "partial 16S ribosomal RNA". It matches the Rfam family "Bacterial small subunit ribosomal RNA", at positions 1255 to 1500 of the family's 1533-position model. The record is from RNAcentral.
CAGCAAUGGGAUGCGAAUCUCGAAAGCCUGUCUCAGUUCGGAUUGGGGGCUGAAACCCGCCUCCAUGAAGUUGGAUUCGCUAGUAAUCGCGCAUCAGCCAUGGCGCGGUGAAUACGUUCCCGGGCCUUGUACACACCGCCCGUCAAGCCAUGGGAGCCGGGGGUGCCUGAAGUUCGUGACCGCAAGGAGCGACCUAGGGCAAAACUGGUGACUGGGGCUAAGUCGUAACAAGGUAUC